CUUAAAGAGUUGCUUGUGCUCAACAUUUUUGCGCUCUACCUGAGCGAUCAUCAACGCUGGCUAUGAAGAAUGAGUGCAGCUGGGGAGGAUUAGAUCUUGACAAAACCAGCAGGAGUUGUGGCGUAAUGCUUCGACGCAGGCACAUUUGUUUGCCUUUUUUUGUAUUGCAAAUUUGAGGGUUCAGUUAAACAAGCAAAUGCAAGAUAUGGAAAUAAUUUCAACAACGACCUCGAUAAAGAGUUAUGUAGACGCAAUUCAAUUGUAAAUUCACAAAAAUAAAACAAAUAAAACCGAACACGAAAAACCGGAAGAAUUGAGAACAAGUAUUGGCGAUAAGCUUAAUGGCCCGAAGAGCACACGGCUAGCAUCGACGACAUUGCGCACAUUAUAGCAAAAAUAAACGUUUCGUCCGGGGUGCUGCUGGCCGUCAGUUACUCAUGAGCAGUGGAACAGUGUGAAUUCAAAUUUCUUGAUGCGGAAAACAGAUUGCUGCAAAUGUCGUGUUUUCUUAACAAUAAAUAACUGAGAGGGAGAAAAAAAAAUAUAAUAACAAAUAAAAAAAACAAAAACAAGCUGCAAAUUUUUGAAAACAAGCGAAAACGUGAAAGAAAGCUAUUACUCAUUAUUUUUUGCAAGCUAAACGUAGUUGACGUGCUGUAAAUUGCGAGCCAAAAAUAUUAGCUAAAAGUAAAAUUUGAAAAUUGUUAAAUAAUUAAAAGAACAAAAACACUACUGAGUGCGGCUGAUAGUGACGUGUAUGCUCAACUAUUUUUGGAAAUUAUUUAAAUUGCACAGUUACAUACAUAGGUAGCACACCUGAUUCGUUCCCAACGUACGCGAAGGGGGAAAAAAUACGGAAAAACGUGGAAACGCAAUAGACGAGUAUUAAAGCAGGAGGAAGCAAGGCUGUUGGUUACAUACAUACAUACAUACAAAAAUA
Long non-coding RNA from Rhagoletis zephyria (snowberry fruit fly), 940 nucleotides. RefSeq lists it as uncharacterized. The record is from RefSeq and is a predicted model, not a curated record. Lineage: Eukaryota; Metazoa; Arthropoda; Insecta; Diptera; Tephritidae.